AAGGCUUUAGCUUAAUCAAAGUGCCCGCGUUGCAUGCGGGAGCUGUGGGAUAAUGCCCCGCAAGUUUUA
This 69-nucleotide transfer RNA is filed under the name Dicentrarchus punctatus. RNAcentral describes it as "tRNA-Ala". Lineage: Eukaryota; Metazoa; Chordata; Actinopteri; Moronidae. The record is from RNAcentral.